ACUCCUACGGGAGGCAGCAGUGGGAAUAUUGGACAAUGGGCGCAAGCCUGAUCCAGCCAUGCCGCGUGAGUGAUGAAGGCCUUAGGGUUGUAAAGCUCUUUUGNCCGGGACGAUAAUGACGGUACCGGAAGAAUAAGCCCGCUAGCUUACUGUGCCAGCAGCCGCGGUAAUACGAAGGGGCGGUAGCGUUGCUCGGAAUCACUGGGCGUAAAGGGCGCGUAGGCGGCCUUGUAAGUUGGGGUGAAAGCCGUGGCUCAACCACGGAAUUGCCUUCGAUACUGCUUGGCUUGA
Molecule: ribosomal RNA, 291 nt
Filed under: uncultured bacterium
Lineage: Bacteria
Description: partial 16S ribosomal RNA
Rfam family: Bacterial small subunit ribosomal RNA
Source: RNAcentral